GUUGUCCAAGUUUUUAGACCCUUUAAAGUCUCCUUGGAAGGACUGGGUAGAAAUAUUGGAUGCUAACACAAACAUUCCGGAAUCCCAAUUGGAAGAAGUUCGGAUUGGUUGGAAGUUGUGGAAAGAAGAGCUAGAGAGUCGAAAAAAGGUGGCAGCAUAAUUGUCGUGAGAGAAGUACAUUAGUUGGAAGCACCAAGGUAGGAGAAUUGAAGUGGCAUCAUAAGGAGCAGCACCAGUUAGAAACUGGGAGGUGAUUCUUUUCAGUGAUUUUUUGUAACGUUGUCCAGGAAGUUCUGGGGUUUCAUCAAGCUUCCGAAAAUCAGAAAGGCUCCAAGUCUCACUCUUCCGUAAUGAAGUUCUGAACGUGUGAAUGUUUUAUUGAUUCGGACACUAGUUGAUCUGCCAUCAUCUGUUAUAGCUCAAACGUUAAAAAUCACAGAAUCGAGCAGAAAUUCACAUCCUUUUCUUUGUUUCGAUCCGCUUUUUUUUUUUUUUUUUUUAAAAUUAUUAUAUGCAUUAUUUCCACAUUGUUGUCAUUUAUCUUGUCAUACUGGCAGGUUUGGUGCA
Long non-coding RNA from Olea europaea var. sylvestris, 567 nucleotides. RefSeq lists it as uncharacterized. The transcript is spliced from 3 exons. The record is from RefSeq and is a predicted model, not a curated record. NCBI's taxonomy places the organism in Eukaryota, Viridiplantae, Streptophyta, Magnoliopsida, Lamiales, Oleaceae.